AUUGAACGCUGGCGGCAUGCCUUACACAUGCAAGUCGAACGGCAGCACGGGAGCAAUCCUGGUGGCGAGUGGCGAACGGGUGAGUAAUGUAUCGGAACGUGCCCAGUCGUGGGGGAUAACGUAGCGAAAGCUACGCUAAUACCGCAUACGAUCUAUGGAUGAAAGCGGGGGAUCGCAAGACCUCGCGCGAUUGGAGCGGCCGAUAUCAGAUUAGCUAGUUGGUGGGGUAAAGGCCCACCAAGACGACGAUCUGUAGCUGGUCUGAGAGGACGACCAGCCACACUGGAACUGAGACACGGUCCAGACUCCUACGGGAGGCAGCAGUGGGGAAUUUUGGACAAUGGGCGCAAGCCUGAUCCAGCAAUGCCGCGUGCAGGAUGAAGGCCUUCGGGUUGUAAACUGCUUUUGUACGGAACGAAACGGCCCUUUCUAAUACAGGGGGCUAAUGACGGUACCGUAAGAAUAAGCACCGGCUAACUACGUGCCAGCCGCCGCAGUAA
RNAcentral lists this ribosomal RNA (500 nucleotides) under uncultured bacterium. Its description in RNAcentral is "partial 16S ribosomal RNA". It matches the Rfam family "Bacterial small subunit ribosomal RNA", at positions 30 to 523 of the family's 1533-position model. The record is from RNAcentral.